CCUCCUUUCUAAGGAAAUUUCUUAAUGAAAAUAAAUCUUCGUGAUUUAUGAUCUUUUGAAAUUCUUGGAACAUAAUGUCAGAUUUAUCUGACAAAACAUUGCUGGAUUGUCGCCAUCUUCGUUUCUCUUUCUCAGGAUUAAGUUAUACCCUAAUCGGAAUAGCGGGCCUGUAGCUCAGCUUGGUUAGAGCGCACGCCUGAUAAGCGUGAGGUCGGUAGUUCA
This 222-nucleotide unclassified non-coding RNA is filed under the name uncultured Alphaproteobacteria bacterium. Its description in RNAcentral is "partial 16S-23S ribosomal RNA intergenic spacer". The stretch from base 164 to 222 matches the Rfam family "tRNA", at positions 1 to 55 of the family's 71-position model. Lineage: Bacteria; Pseudomonadati; Pseudomonadota; Alphaproteobacteria. The record is from RNAcentral.